Pecten maximus is the source of this 2904-nucleotide long non-coding RNA. RefSeq lists it as uncharacterized. The transcript is spliced from 2 exons. The record is from RefSeq and is a predicted model, not a curated record. NCBI's taxonomy places the organism in Eukaryota, Metazoa, Mollusca, Bivalvia, Pectinida, Pectinidae.
GUAGUUACUACCCUUGAUACUAUAUACAUACAUGUAUAUAUAUAGACUAUCAUUUGGAAAAUCGUGCCAAGCCCCUGUGAUACAAAUCUACAUAUAAUCGUCAUAACCUUUAUAUAUAAAAUACCGAAAUUAAUAAAAUGCAUAAUACAUGGACGUGUAAUAUUCUUAUAACAAAGAGUAGGUAAUAUGCUGUAUUUGAAUUAUAACUAUCAAUAUAUGGAUGCACGUAUUAAUAAUAUCCACUAGGAUACCAUAGUUAAAGUACCAUACAUGUACAUGGAGACGUACUGUACAAUGAGUUUUAUGAUUAUGAUUGUGUACAAUUGACUAUCUGAUAUCAGUACCUGGAUACAAGGUGUAUUAUAACAAUGUCUAUAUUAUAUAAGUAUCUGGAUACCAGAUGUAUUAUACGAUAUCUAUAUUAUAUAAGUAAUCUGGAUACCAGAUUUUUUUUAUGAAAUAUCAGAUACAGGGUGUAUUAUACAACACAAUAUUUAUCUAAGUACCUGAAUACCAGGUGUAAUAUACUCCACAAUAUAUACCUAAUUACUUGAAUACCAGGUGUAAUAUACUCCACAAUAUAUACCUAAUUACCUGGAUACCAGGUGAGUAUCCGGAUACAAGGUGUUUUAUACUACACAAUAUAUCUAAUUACCUGGAUACCAGGUGAGUAUCCGGAUACAAGAUGUAUUAUACUACACAAUAUAUACAAAAUGUACCUAAUUACCUGGAUACCAGGUGAGUAUCCGGAUACAAGGUGUAUUAUACUACACAAUAUAUACCUAAUUACCUGGAUACAAGGUGUAUUAUACUACACAAUAUAUACCUAAUUACCUGGAUACCAGGUGAGUAUCCGGAUACAAGGUGUAUUAUACUACACAAUAUAUCUAAUAACCUGGAUACCAGGUGUAUUAUACUACACAAUAUAUUUAAUUACCUGGAUACCAGGUGAGUAUCCGGAUACAAGGUGUAUUAUACUACACAAUAUAUACCUAAUUACCUGGAUACAAGGUGUAUUAUACUACACAAUAUAUCUAAUUACCUGGAUACCAGGUGAGUAUCCGGAUACAAGGUGUAUUAUACUACACAAUAUAUACCUAAUUACCUGGAUACAAGAUGUAUUAUACUACACAAUAUAUCUAAUAACCUGGAUACCAGGUGUAUUAGACAAUAUUAGACCCGCCCUAUUAUUAAACCAACUUUAUUUACCCGCAAGAAAAUCAGGAGAGUAUGCAUGAUUUCUGUCACUCGUAUAGUUAAUAUCUAUACUUGGUCCACGCCCUUCUUUUUUGAUACAUUUUUCCUGUUCCAACAAUUUCACAAACUGAUCAUAUAGGAAGUGAAAAUAAAGGAAAGCAUGCUGUAUCAAAGUAAGAUGUUUAUGUAGAUAUUGGAAAUUUUCAGAACUGGUGCAAUGGUCAUAUACAAAAGUAACAAGAUGACAAACCUAAUAAAGCCCUGUAGGUGUUUUUUUUCUAAUGACUUUCUGACUAUAGUGUAUAAUACCAGUUACUAAAAACAUUUAUUGCCUAUUUUUGUCAUAGUGUUUUGUCAUAUUUUUGAUAAAUUGAUGUCAUAUUUUAUAUUGUCAUAUUAACCAUGUCAUAUUUUGUCAUAUUUUUGUCUGCCAUACGGACGAAUUUGCAUUCUCUAUUGUCAGGUCAGAUACUGCAGUGUGACAUUGUCGAAUGAAGAAAACAUUUUGGUGAUCUUAUACGUCACCAAAACGUAAAUAACACAUUUACCUUAUUACAGCGUUAUGAUACCUAUGUUAGUUUAAACUUGAGUCAAGAAAUUUACUGAUUUGAAUUAUGUUACAUGAGACAUAUAUAGAUGAUGUAACACCUCAUAUCACAUAAAAUGCAUUUUUGUUUAGGUUGCUACUUUAUAUCUUGUUACAUAUACAAUGGAUGAAGUUCAUGUCAAAUCUUACAUCGAGUACAGUAUUACUUUGGGUACAGCGUUGGUUUAGGUACAGUGUUAAUUUGGGCACAGUAUUUGUUUGGGUACAGCAUUGCUCUGUGAACAUUAUUACUUUGGAUACAGUAUAACGUUGGGUACAGUAUUACUUUGGUAACAAUAUAACUUUGGGUACAGUAUUACAUUGGGUACAGUAUUACUUUGGGUACAGUAUAACUUUGGGUACAAUAUUAGGUUUGGUACAGUAUAACUUUGGGUACAAUAUUACGUUUGGUACAGUAUAACUUUGGGUACAGUAUUACGUUUAGUACAGUAUUACUUGGGUACAGUAUAACGUUGGGUACAGUAUUACUUUGGGUACAGUAUAACUUUGGGUACAGUAUUACGUUUAGUACAGUAUUACUUGGGUACAGUAUAACGUUGGGUACAGUAUUACUUUGGGUACAGUAUAACUUUGGGUACAGUAUUACUUUGGGUACAGUAUAACGUUGGGUACAGUAUUACUUUGGGUACAGUAUAACGUUGGGUACAGUAUUACUUUGGGUACAGUAUUACUUUGGGUACAGUAUAACUUUGGGUACAGUAUUACGUUUAGUACAGUAAUUAGGUGCAGCAUUAUUUUAAGUACAGAAUUACUUUAGGUACAUUAAUAAUUUGGGUACAAUAUAUAUAGAGUAUUACAUCGGGUACAAUAUUACGUUUGGAACAGUAAAACGUUGGGUACAGUAUUACUUUAGGUAUAGUACCGCUAAGUGCCGUAUCAUUUUAAGCAUAGUACAGGUAUGGUUAGUACUGUAUUUUAAGUUACAUGCAUAUUAAUACAAUAUUAUAAUAACAAUAGUGUUGUCCAGAGAAUGAUGAAGAUUUGAAGCAGAUUUAUAAUGGUAUGAUAUCUUGUGUUAUUGGUCACAGAUCUUUAAAUUGUAAUAGAUAGAAAUAUCAUAUAAAACAACUACAUUUUAAUUAUUAAAUGAUAUAUGUAUA